Molecule: long non-coding RNA, 326 nt
Filed under: Volvox carteri
Lineage: Eukaryota; Viridiplantae; Chlorophyta; Chlorophyceae; Chlamydomonadales; Volvocaceae
Description: long non-coding RNA (VCAR_LNC000941)
Source: RNAcentral
CCUUGUCUGGGUACAUUACGCGUCACAAAUGAGAAGCACAAUUCACGUAAGGAGGAUAGCGCGUUCGGCGGGUAAACUUGUUUCCAGACCAACGAAAGAACCAGCGGAUGGGCAGGUAGCACAUGGAAUGCGUCAUUAAGCCCUGGUGCAGGACAUCCGCAGCGUCCAUCUCACCGUAGGUGCUGUAACCAUUGCGCACGCUGCUGAUCCAGAAACUCGAAAGCCUGUUGCUGCAGCUUGAAUUCUGCCCUCGGUGCAGAGGCCUCCAUCCACAACGGUUGGCGAGGACUGCAUGUAUCGCUACGGAUAGCUGUUUGCGCGUCAUU